Molecule: long non-coding RNA, 102 nt
Organism: Chiroxiphia lanceolata (lance-tailed manakin)
Lineage: Eukaryota; Metazoa; Chordata; Aves; Passeriformes; Pipridae
Exons: 3
Source: RefSeq, a predicted model, not a curated record
UUUAGAGUUCUACAGUCCUAAGUGACUGAAAGGGCUGAGGAUGAGGAGGAAAUCAAUGCUGAGCUGACAGCCAAGAAAAGAAAACUGGAGGAUGAAUGUUCA